Non-coding RNA from Peromyscus maniculatus bairdii (prairie deer mouse), 1608 nucleotides. Lineage: Eukaryota; Metazoa; Chordata; Mammalia; Rodentia; Cricetidae. The record is from RefSeq and is a predicted model, not a curated record.
CUAAUAAUGACACUCCCUAUGAGCUUAUGAUGGUCAGUUACAUUCAAACCACCACGGAUGCCGACAUCCUUGUUCACAACAUCCAAUGCUUUCCUCAGAGGUGACCACUGCUGUGUUUUAAAGAGGUUUCCAGAGAACUUUCUGAAGGCACAACAGGCCCAGUGGCUUUCUGGAGACAAGGUGGACUCUACUGGUUCUCCAAGAAAGACGUUUCUACAGGAGCCCGGUCUACAAUUCCAGCAUUCAUCUCUCAUCUCAAAGAUGAAAGGGGCGCUUUUACACAUCGUAAGUAAUGGCAUGACCUCUUCUUCCAGUCAUUCAAAAAUGCAUUUGUUCUCCAUAAUAGAGAGAGAAGCCGCAGCCAAAUUAUAUUCUAAUGUAUAAGAGCCUUGAACCCAGGAGGCCAUUCUGCACUGCCAGCUAGGUGGCUGCCGAAUAUAUCAUUAGUCCAACAAGGUUUGUCUGUCGGCUUUGUGAAGAGGCAGAAUUUCUAGCUUCAAAUGAAUAUCUGGGUGUAAUUUAUCCUUGUGCCUGUUAGAAGCCCUAGACGAUGCUCUUCCUGAACGGAGUCAUGAUGGAAACGGUUGGGCUCCUGACACAGUUGUCAUGUGCUCAAUUGAGGCAGCUGUACUAGGAAGGCCGAAGAAGCUGAAGAAGGUUAAGAUACCAAGUACCUGCCCAGUUAUGUGGGCACCAAGAAGAAGCUACAAUGCAUUCUACCAUUUUAAGGUCUGGAAUCAGACUCUCAGGAGAGGCGGUGUAAGAAAAACAUGAAAUGACUUCCUGAUGGGAAAUGUGUUUGAGCCUCGUGGAUCCAGUCACUCACUGAAGCCAGUGCCUGGGGCCAGCACGAUGCCAUGCUAAGUCACCCAUCGCCACUGGCUUUCUCUCUCUCUCUCUUUGUGUCCUCCCCCCCUUCCUUCUGAUGCUCGCCAAUUUCACAGUUGACAUGAGUUCCUGCAAGAAAGCUCCUUGUCUUUUAACUCCUGGGAUAUCCAAUUCUUCCUGCAUGUAUACUUAUUUCUCCUAAAUGAUCUAGCUUCAAUCUUGCCCUGGGCACCAGAAUCAUCCAGUCACCUUAGUCUGGAGUUUCCCAAGUAGGAAAUUUUACUGUGUACCCAUAGUUGACAAAUAUGAAGUACGUUCUUCUUUUUGCUCUUGAAACUAGUGCUUUUGAUCAUUUGUGUAAAAACCACCGGUUUCUCCUAAUGAGCAAAGAUCAGAAUUCUCAGCCUUUGUCAUGGUUUCCUUUCCUUACUACCAUCCAUGUAGAAAUGUACCAGGUCUCUUGGAGUUCACCAACAAAUUAGGUAUUAAUCUGCCCCCAUGUUUUUCAUUUUGUAUUCCUUUCUGUUUUGUCUUGUCCAGCCACUCAGCAAGCAGCCACUUAGCUGCUUCCUAGUGAGGGAUGCUGGGUUACACACUGAGACAGAGACAGAGACAGAGAGAGACAAAGGCAGAGAUAUUUCUCCAGGUAACAACUACAUGAUAUUAUAUCUAUACUUCAUAUCUAUACUAACAACAUACACACAUGCACGCAAACAUACACACACAUUUUUUUUUUUCAGAUAGUGUUUCUCUGUGUAGUCCUGGCUGUCCCGGAACUCG